This 1290-nucleotide long non-coding RNA is filed under the name Salmo salar (Atlantic salmon). RNAcentral describes it as "lncRNA (ENSSSAG00000099735.1, ENSSSAG00000106553.1)". Lineage: Eukaryota; Metazoa; Chordata; Actinopteri; Salmoniformes; Salmonidae. The record is from RNAcentral.
UGAGUAUAUCUAGGUAAUCGUGUCGAACGCUUUUUUUUAAUGUAUCGUGUAGUAAAACUGCAUAAACCUAAUGUCAAGUUAAAGUGUACUGUUAGCUAGCUAACAUUAGCUGGCUGGCUCGCUAGCUAACGUUAAGUGUAUGCUCUCCACUUUCUGGAGGACCAAGUUUUGAAAUCAGUGGAAUUCGAGUAUGAUAGCUAAGGACUUGGAGAAAACACCAGUCUGGGUUACAUUGUCAAACUAAGGGCAACCAUGCAUGGUAUCAGACAAGAGACGUGUCCAACCAUUAUGUACAGUAGUGUAUCUUGCACAGUCAGUCACCAACGCUCUGGAUAACAUGAAAACUGCCUAAUCAGUUCUGCAAGGGAUGUUGGUGGGCGGAGCCGGGAGGGUCGUCAGCGAAAUGGGACACACCUGGGCUCGGGUGUGUCCCAGGAUAAAUACACCUCUUCCCCUUAUUCAUUGAGGAGACUCUCUCCAUGCAGACACACUGAUAGAGUUUGGUUGUGGCUGUUUUUGUUUGUUUGUUUUUGUUGGCACCUUUCAACACCCCUCAUUAUCACAUUUAUGCACGCAACCACUCACUUACACCACUGAUUACUGACUACACACACCAUUGUUAAUUGUAUUUAGUUUACUUUAGUUAAGAAAUAACAAAAUAUAUUUAUUAUCUCCAUGUUGUCUCCCUUUUUGUUAUGAGCUUUGAGCCGGUUCGUGACAGGUGCCAGAGUGAUGACUGUCCUAUUUGCUGUAAUUAAGCCUGUGUGUGAGUUUUUAUGUUUCAUUUUCAUUUUCUGUUCCAGAUUGACUGUGUUUUGAUAAGAAAGGUAUAAAACUCAGCAACCCAAAAUCAGGUUGUUUACCAUGGAUGGAAUGUCAAACACCAGAGGGAUGUAUUUUGUUAGUUUAAAUGUAUACUUAACAAUCUUGAAUUUUUCUAGAAGAAACUGAGUUUCUUGAGAGGCGAAUGUGAGAGAAAAAUUACAUAGUUACCUGAUUUGUUUGAUAUUAAUAGUUAACAAUUAAUACUUAACAAAUAUGAAGAUAUUUCUGUCCUGUUAGUGUCUGUGUUUUUAUGGUGCUAAUCUGGGCGUAUGAUCACUAGAGAUGGCUUGAGCUGACAAAUGAGUUAAAGACUGCAUUACAUAGACAAGAUGUGGUGGGUCUAACCGAGAUAGAGAUAGCCAGGAGGAGUUUAGAACAAUUCCUCAUUGUCUCUAAAUCAUCCUUGCAUCUGGGAAACUAAGCCAGGGAGGGGUUAAUACAACACCUCCGUGCAGAUAACGACUG